GAAUGAUUUUUCGAGCAUAUCAAUCUAAAAGAUAUUAACAUUUGUAUGCAACAGAUUAUUUUAAAAUUAUAAACACAACGUGCGUAUACACACAAGAGUGCAAGACUUUAACGUGCGGUUUUUACCUAUUUUAAGUGUGCGGUAUUCGCCUAUACAAUGUAUCUACCUGGCAACCGAUAAAGUGUGUGGUUUUUGUUUAUAGACCUUUUUGGAAUUGAAAUAAUGUCUGUGCGGUUAUUGAAUGCAACCGUUUUUAUUUGUGUUAUUUCUAUAACACUGUAAAACAAUGUAUCCGUAAUUUCGUUUUCUAACAGCGGACCAAACUGCGUAUUUACAGAACACUCACUAUCCGAGUUUGACCCGAACCGAAAUGUAACCGAAUCGAGUUGCAAAGUAUAUUUUACGAGUUUUAUAGAAUGCAACCUACUUGUUGGUCCGAACUCCAUGCUAACCCGUGGAAGUUAAUGUCCUGAAUGUAAAUCUAAAACCUACUGCCUAGUCGAUGAGUCGAUAAGUUUCUAUUGUCUAGUGACUUUUAUAUCGACCGACCAAGAUUAGUCAAUUACUCUAUUAUCGAACAAACGCACCGACAUAAUAAUAUUUUGUUCCGUCUAACAUUAAUAUCAACGUAUUCAGUGGUUGUUUGAAUUAUAUUGUCCACCCUAUCCUAUACCUGAUACUGUAUUAUGUUGUGGGACCGUGUAGGCAAAU
Cinara cedri is the source of this 711-nucleotide non-coding RNA. NCBI's taxonomy places the organism in Eukaryota, Metazoa, Arthropoda, Insecta, Hemiptera, Aphididae. The record is from the annotation of a GenBank genome assembly.